GCCUGGGUGGCUCAGUCGGUUGAGCAUCCGACUUUGGCUCAGGUCAUGAUCUCAGUCUGUGAGUUCGAGCCCCACGUCGGGCU
Transfer RNA from Felis catus (domestic cat), 83 nucleotides. It matches the Rfam family "tRNA". From Rfam's summary of the family: Transfer RNA (tRNA) molecules are approximately 80 nucleotides in length. Their secondary structure includes four short double-helical elements and three loops (D, anti-codon, and T loops). The record is from Rfam. NCBI's taxonomy places the organism in Eukaryota, Metazoa, Chordata, Mammalia, Carnivora, Felidae.